CAUGCAAGUCGAGGGGUAUAAGAAGCUUGCUUUUUAGAGACCGGCGGAUGGGUGAGUAACGCGUAUGCAACCUACCUUUUACAGGGGAAUAGCCCGGAGAAAUUCGGAUUAAUGCUCCAUGGUUUAUAGAUGUGGCAUCACGUUUAUAAUAAAGAUUUAUCGGUAAAAGAUGGGCAUGCGUAUCAUUAGCUAGUUGGUGUGGUAACGGCAUACCAAGGCGACGAUGAUUAGGGGUCCUGAGAGGGAGAUCCCCCACACUGGUACUGAGACACGGACCAGACUCCUACGGGAGGCAGCAGUGAGGAAUAUUGGUCAAUGGAGGCAACUCUGAACCAGCCAUGCCGCGUGCAGGAUGACGGUCCUAUGGAUUGUAAACUGCUUUUGUACGGGAAGAAAUGUAAUUACGAGUAAUUAUUUGACGGUACCGUAAGAAUAAGGAUCGGCUAACUCCGUGCCAGCAGCCGCGGUAAUACGGAGGAUCCGAGCGUUAUCCGGAAUUAUUGGGUUUAAAGGGUUCGUAGGCGGUUUAGUAAGUCAGUGGUGAAAUCUUGCAGCUUAACUGUAAAAUUGCCGUUGAUACUGCUAAACUUGAAUAGUAUGGAAGUAAUUAGAAUAUGUAGUGUAGCGGUGAAAUGCUUAGAUAUUACAUGGAAUACCAAUUGCGAAGGCAGAUUACUACGUACUUAUUGACGCUGAUGAACGAAAGCGUGGGUAGCGAACAGGAUUAGAUACCCUGGUAGUCCACGCCGUAAACGAUGGAUACUAGCUGUUCGGUCUUCGGAUUGAGUGGCUAAGCGAAAGUGAUAAGUAUCCCACCUGGGGAGUACGUUCGCAAGAAUGAAACUCAAAGGAAUUGACGGGGGCCCGCACAAGCGGUGGAGCAUGUGGUUUAAUUCGAUGAUACGCGAGGAACCUUACCAAGGCUUAAAUGUAGAUUGACAGGUUUAGAGAUAGACUUUCCUUCGGGCAAUUUACAAGGUGCUGCAUGGUUGUCGUCAGCUCGUGCCGUGAGGUGUCAGGUUAAGUCCUAUAACGAGCGCAACCCCUAUUGUUAGUUGCCAGCGGGUCAUGCCGGGAACUCUAACAAGACUGCCGGUGCAAACCGUGAGGAAGGUGGGGAUGACGUCAAAUCAUCACGGCCCUUACGUCUUGGGCUACACACGUGCUACAAUGGCCAGUACAGAAAGCAGCUACCAGGCAACUGGAUGCGAAUCUCAAAAGCUGGUCUCAGUUCGGAUUGGAGUCUGCAACUCGACUCUAUGAAGCUGGAAUCGCUAGUAAUCGGAUAUCAGCCAUGAUCCGGUGAAUACGUUCCCGGGCCUUGUACACACCGCCCGUCAAGCC
RNAcentral lists this ribosomal RNA (1344 nucleotides) under Myroides odoratus. Its description in RNAcentral is "bacterial SSU rRNA". It matches the Rfam family "Bacterial small subunit ribosomal RNA", at positions 54 to 1403 of the family's 1533-position model. The record is from RNAcentral. Lineage: Bacteria; Pseudomonadati; Bacteroidota; Flavobacteriia; Flavobacteriales; Flavobacteriaceae.